Gymnodraco acuticeps is the source of this 2713-nucleotide long non-coding RNA. RefSeq lists it as uncharacterized. The transcript has 2 exons. The record is from RefSeq and is a predicted model, not a curated record. Lineage: Eukaryota; Metazoa; Chordata; Actinopteri; Perciformes; Bathydraconidae.
CGCCAUGGUUUGUUAUCGUAUCGUCUUCCUACGUUUUCGUCACUUCCGGUUUGGCUGAGUCGAACAUUUCGUUUCUAAAAAACUUCGGGGAAGCUGCAAUAAAGUGCUUCUAACAUGCGUACGGCAAUUAUUAUAUUUUUUUAAUCAGGUGUGAUUGUUUUGGUACGUAAUUAUGCUUGUAUAUAAGUUAAAACGAAACUAUUUGAGGUUCCAUUUCCACUAUCCCUUUAAGUGACAGUAACUUUUUUAAUUUUCAAAGAAGUUCAACAAAACAAGAUUUCAAGAACAAUUUUGUACAUGUGAAUAAUAACUGUUGAACAUAUUGCACAUCCAGGUACGGUGGAACUGACUGUGGGUUCCCAGUCCCACAAGACGACUUGGGCCAGUUUGUUCUGGACUCGACCAACAGUCCAUGUGGAGACGACCACUUCCAGGAACACUUUGAGAACCUUCAAAGAACGAGUGGUCUAAUGCAACCCUUGACCUGGGAGUCUUGUGUUGCGAACUAUAUAACUAUGAAGAACAUGGCUAAUUUGUAAAUUGUUCUGCCGAUUGGAAAGCGAGAUGUCCGGUGAAAAAACAAUUGAGGUCUCGGCUGGAUUCCAGAUGGUGGCAGGGUGUUUAAUCCUGUUGAGAACAUCAGGAUGUCACUGAGGAGGAGUCCUGUUCGUUUUUCUGAGAAGAAAAAGUAGUAUUACGGUUUUUUGUUUUUUUUAAAUAUCAAGAUUGAUAGAACUGCCAUUAAUAGCUAAUUAUUUUAAGAUGUGAACAAUGUUGGAACUCAAAUAAACCUUCUUUUUCAAGGAGAUAGUCUCUCCAAAAUCCCAGCACCCUGGUUUCCUCAUGUCGUCUCGAGCUUCCUUUUUCGCUGCUGUGCUGAACCUCAAAGACUUCCUCCAAUGUGGCAGAAGUCAGCUCUACCACACAGCACAUAAAAGCUCUGAAAACACUUCCAUGCUGCUCCAAAGCAUGAAUCACAUCCAAGGCUUCAAGUCCGUCUUUGAAUCUAGGAAACAUUAGACACAAAGACCCAUCAAUCUACGAUCACCUAUCGCCAGGUUAGUAACAAUAUCUGAAAAAAGUAUUAGAACCAAUUUUAGAUCUACUUCAUUUCUUAAUGACCUCUGGGUUUUACAUGCAGUAAAGUAAAUCAAUCAAUAAUCUUUACAUAUUUCUGUUUCAUAUUUAAAUGUUUGACCAAGACCAAUAACAUAUAUUAAAUAAAGUCAGAAUAACUUCUGUGAAAGUAACUAAACUGAUAAUAAAAUGAUCUCCAAAUGCAGGAUUGUCCAGUGAAUCGAUAGCUGCAACUCUACCCUUGUAAACCCUCAAUCGCCUUGGUAUCACAAUUGGUCAUAGAACGCUUGAUUUAGGCUUUUCUUAUCUUUAAAUGUUUGUUCCGAGCUUCAAUACACGUUAAACUGCUUUUAAUAAUUUUAAUGAUGUUUUAAAUGCAAUUUUUGUAUUUUCUGAAAGCACUUGGAAUUGCUUUGUGUCUGAAUGGUGCUAAUAUAAAUGAUAACCUUGCUUGAACAUCUAAAUGGUGAUGUGUUUGACUCGAUAACAAUUAAAAUAUAUUGAACUUAGGUUAAACGGUGCAGAAACAUUACCUUCGUCUGGCAAAACGGUAAAUGAUGUACCACUGCAUGAAAUCCUUUAUGAUUGCGUUUUUGCCAUCCACACCAUCAGGGUACUGCAAGCAACCGGCAGUCUGCAACAAGCUGGAAUUUCUGUGGAUUGAUGCAUGUCGUUCCUCCAGUGUAGCUGCGCUGGAUAUCUAGGGUAGAAAACAAUCAUAAUCCAUAAACAUAAAUCAAUAUGCUGUCAAACUCGCAUAUGAAGGACGACCGGUAAUUUAUCAAAUUAAAAAUAUAUAUUCUCAAUAAUUGUAACAUCUUCUUUCCCUCCUAUGGUGUUCGGUUUACAUCUGACUGAUUUACUACUCUCAUUAAAUAGUAUCAUAAAUGUAAGCUUCUUCUUCUUCUUCUUCUUCUUCUUCACUUAAUUACCCCAAUCAUUUUUGACCAGCUGCAGAGGGGAGCAAGAAUUAUGAAUGAUACCUAAUGUAAGGAGUUGCAUUAAUCAAAGUGGCAAGAUAUUAAAGCGUAUCUAUAUCCAUGUCAUGAAAGGAGGAAUAUAUUUUUAAUAUUGUUCUAAGAUGACAAACUUGUUCUUACUCGUGUACAUUUGUUUUCAUCAAUGAUAUUUGUAAUGACAGUUAGGUAUGAUAAAUAAAUACGGCAUCAUUUCUAAUGGUUUGCCAUAACGGCUAGCUAACCUGUAGUGUCUCUACUUUAAAGAGUUCUCUCCUGUUGAUGUUCAGGUGUAUAUCAGUAUAUAGUGUCUCUACUUUAAAGAGUCCUCUUGUAAGGGUUUAGUGUUUUGUCUAUCUGUCUGUUGAUGUUAAUUGCUCUGCUCUCUCUCUCUCCAGGUGUCGGCACUUCCUGUCCGUGUGGCACCUGCUAGGCUGAUGGUUGUUCCCGCCCCUAAUUGUGUCCACCUGUGUCCCAUUACCUAAAGUGUAUAUUUGGUCCGCCUCUCCCUUUGUCUGGUGUUGGUUCGUCUUGUCUUUUCGUCAUGUCCAUGCCUGUAGUCCAUAGACCUGUUCUUGCACUACCUAGUAGAACCUAGAGAUUCUUGGAGAGUCCUAGUAGAUCCUAGAAGUUGAUUGGAAAGCUUUGUAUUCUUGGAAAUAAAGAAUAUUACAAAGCAA